CAAUAGCGUAUAUUAAAGUUGUUGCAGUUAGAACGCUCGUAGUCGGAUUUCGGGGCGGGCCGACCGGUCUGCCGAUGGGUAUGCAUUGGUCGGCGCGUCCUUCCUUCCGGAGACCGUCCCUACUCUUAACUGAGCGGGGGCGGGAGACGGGACUUUUACUUUGAAAAAAUCAGAGUGUUUCAAGCAGGCAGCUCGCUCUUGCAUGGAUUAGCAUGGGAUAAUGAAAUAGGACUUUGGUGCUAUUUUGUUGGUUUCGAACACCGAAGUAAUGAUGAGAAGGGACAGUCAGGGGCACUCGUAUUCCGCCGAGAGAGGUGAAAUUCUCAGACCAGCGGAAGACGAACCACUGCGAAAGCAUUUGCCAGGGAUGUUUUCACUGA
RNAcentral lists this ribosomal RNA (380 nucleotides) under uncultured eukaryote. RNAcentral's name for it is "partial 18S ribosomal RNA". It matches the Rfam family "Eukaryotic small subunit ribosomal RNA", at positions 592 to 976 of the family's 1831-position model. The record is from RNAcentral.